Molecule: long non-coding RNA, 199 nt
Filed under: Gossypium raimondii (Peruvian cotton)
Lineage: Eukaryota; Viridiplantae; Streptophyta; Magnoliopsida; Malvales; Malvaceae
Description: long non-coding RNA (GRAI_LNC000320)
Source: RNAcentral
AAACAGCCACCGCCGUCUAGUACCUUGAUAGAAGUGGGAAAAAUUAUCGUUAAUAGUUCGGAGGAGACUGGCGAAACUUACGAGCCUUGGAUGCUAGUUGAAAAUAAAUCCAGGAGGAAAACAAGGGAUCUUUCAAAGAUUGAGGCGAAAAUCACGACAAAAAAUAAUGAAGCCUCUCGUUACAGAGCUUUAAUUGAAA